CAGUGGGGAAUAUUGCACAAUGGGCGCAAGCCUGAUGCAGCCAUGCCGCGUGUAUGAAGAAGGCCUUCGGGUUGUAAAGUACUUUCAGCAGUGAGGAAGGUGGGUAUGUUAAUAGCAUAUUCAUUUGACGUUUAGCUGCAGAAGAAGCACCGGCUAACUCCGUGCCAGCAGCCGCGGUAAUACGGAGGGUGCGAGCGUUUAAUCGGAAUUACUGGGCGUAAAGCGCAUGCAGGUGGUUUGUUAAGUCAGAUGUGAAAGCCCGGGGCUCAACCUCGGAAUUGCAUUUGAAACUGGCAAACUAGAGUACUGUAGAGGGGGUAGAAUUUCAGGUGUAGCGGUGAAAUGCGUAGAGAUCUGAAGGAAUACCGGUGGCGAAGGCGGCCCCCUGGACAGAUACUGACACUCAGAUGCGAAAGCGUGGGGAGCAAACAGGAUUAGAUACCCUGGUAG
Molecule: ribosomal RNA, 450 nt
Filed under: uncultured bacterium
Lineage: Bacteria
Description: bacterial SSU rRNA
Rfam family: Bacterial small subunit ribosomal RNA
Source: RNAcentral